GUACGGGAGGCAGCAGCUAAGAAUCUUCCGCAAUGGGCGAAAGCCUGACGGAGCGACGCCGCGUGGACGAUGAAGGCAGAGAUGUUGUAAAGUCCUUUUCGUAGUGAAGAAUAAGGGUAGGAGGAAAUGCCUGCCUGAUGACGUUAACUACGGAAUAAGCCCCGGCCAAUUACGUGCCAGCAGCCGCGGUAACACGUAAGGGGCUAGCGUUGUUCGGAAUCAUUGGGCGUAAAGGGCGCGUAGGCGGUUAGAUAAGCCUGGUGUGAAAUUCCACUGCUUAACGGUGGGGACGCGCUAGGAACUGUCCAACUAGAGUCGAGGAGGGGAAAUCGGAAUUCCUGGUGUAGGGGUGAAAUCUGUUGAUAUCAGGAAGAACACCGGUGGCGAAGGCGGAUUUCUGGCCAUCGACUGACGCUGAGGCGCGAAAGCGUAGGGAGCAAACAGGAUUAGAUACCCCGGUAGC
Molecule: ribosomal RNA, 463 nt
Filed under: uncultured bacterium
Lineage: Bacteria
Description: bacterial SSU rRNA
Rfam family: Bacterial small subunit ribosomal RNA
Source: RNAcentral